GAAGAAGAUGAGGCUGUAGACAAAAAGCCAACUCUACUCAGUGCCCAGGAAGAUACUCCUGACCUUCUCCAUGAGGACAGAUUACAGUAUCUGCAGGAAGAGGGUUCCGGUGUGAUGCAUCAGGAAUGUCAGAUCCAGUCCUGUGAGCUCUCGGUGGCUCAGAAGCCCAGGCCCUCUUCUCCUGCAGUGACAUCCUUGGCAUCACCACCACUCUGCUUUGGCAGUUUCCUAAGCUGUGUCUGCCAGACCUUCUCAAGGUCUAGGAAGCAGAAGCCUCCCAGAAGAAAGGGUAACAACCAGGCUGAGGCAGGAGAGAGAUGAACCCGGUACCUCAGAUGGAAAUGCAGAAAUCACCGUCUUCUGCGUCGCUCACGCUGGGAGCUGCAGACGGGAGCUGUUCCUAUUCGGCCAUCUUGGCUCCUCCCAUAGGACACCUUUCUAAAGUCAGUCAUGCUUUGAUACUUUUAGUUGUCUAAAAAGUGGUUGAUUUCUCAUUUUAAACAGUAUUGAGUUUUCUUGAGCUAAUUGACCGUGAUAAAUGGGUUUUAUUACAUAAAAUUUCAAAUUAUCCAAACUAUAUCUAUAUUUACAUACAUAUUUUCUCCAUUUAAUACAAGAAGCACACUCCCAGGUAAGGCAUCAUGUAUGAAAGUCCUGAGUCAUCGAGCCUGUUAUUAAAAGCUCACCAGAAUGCAGGUAUUCGUGUUGGUAUUAUACUUUAUUAUUGUUAUUACUUAUCAUAAUAAGUGUUUCAGGUUAGUUUUUCUAUCAUAGAAAAACUAUUAGUGGGAGCCUAGUUAGCCAUAUCUUCAGCCCCAUCUACAAUACUGAUUUUCACAUAAAAGUUAUUUGCUAC
Molecule: long non-coding RNA, 856 nt
Filed under: Homo sapiens (human)
Lineage: Eukaryota; Metazoa; Chordata; Mammalia; Primates; Hominidae
Description: non-protein coding lnc-ZBED2-5:2
Source: RNAcentral